Molecule: transfer RNA, 73 nt
Filed under: Hydrogenobaculum acidophilum
Lineage: Bacteria; Pseudomonadati; Aquificota; Aquificia; Aquificales; Aquificaceae
Also listed under: 2 other names
Description: tRNA-Val
Rfam family: tRNA
About the family: Transfer RNA (tRNA) molecules are approximately 80 nucleotides in length. Their secondary structure includes four short double-helical elements and three loops (D, anti-codon, and T loops).
Source: RNAcentral
GGGCGAUUAGCUCAGUUGGGAGAGCGCCAUCCUCACACGGUGGAGGUCACAGGUUCGAGCCCUGUAUCGCCCA